Molecule: telomerase RNA, 397 nt
Filed under: Pyxicephalus adspersus
Lineage: Eukaryota; Metazoa; Chordata; Amphibia; Anura; Pyxicephalidae
Description: Vertebrate telomerase RNA
Rfam family: Vertebrate telomerase RNA
About the family: Telomerase is a ribonucleoprotein reverse transcriptase that synthesises telomeric DNA. Telomerase RNAs differ greatly in sequence and structure between vertebrates, ciliates and yeasts, but they share a 5' pseudoknot structure close to the template sequence.
Source: Rfam by way of RNAcentral
CCAGCGGUAAUAGGAGAGUUCUAUCCUUCUAACCCUAAUGCACAGACCCCUCGCUGCUCUUCAUGCUCGUUGUUUUUCUCGCUGACUUUCAGCGGGCGAAAGAGCAAUGGAAGCUCAGGACUAAAAAACGUCAGCCGUAGGCUUUCCUAUAGCCGCAGGCCUGCCUGUCAGUGUGCGCGGCCUCUGCUCGCAAUGUCCGCAGCGCCUUCCUAUGAGGCCGCAGUCUGCCAAUACCCCGGGCAGCCGCGAAGAGCUCGUCUCUGUCAGCCUUUGGCGCUGCGGCGGAGUGGGGGAGGCCGCUGAUGGCAGCUGAGAAUAAAGCGAGCCCAGCUGCCCCGCUCUGUUCCACUGCCCCUGAGCUGUGGGGUUGGUGAAUUGCAGCAUGGCUCCGACAACU